GGAUCCAGACUUUGAUUAUGGCUCAGGAUGAACGCUAGCUACAGGCUUAACACAUGCAAGUCGAGGGGAAACGACAUCGAAAGCUUGCUUUUGAUGGGCGUCGACCGGCGCACGGGUGAGUAACGCGUAUCCAACCUGCCCAUCACUUGGGAAUAACCUUGCGAAAGUAAGACUAAUACCCAAUGACAUCCCACGAAGGCAUCCGAAUGGGAUUAAAGAUUUAUCGGUGAUGGAUGGGGAUGCGUCUGAUUAGCUUGUUGGCGGGGUAACGGCCCACCAAGGCAACGAUCAGUAGGGGUUCUGAGAGGAAGGUCCCCCACAUUAGAACUGAGACACGGUCCAAACUCCUACGGGAGGCAGCAGUGAGGAAUAUUGGUCAAUGGGCGAGAGCCUGAACCAGCCAAGUAGCGUGCAGGAUGACGGCCCUAUGGGUUGUAGACUGCUUUUAUAAGGGAAUAAAGUGAGUCUCGUGAGACUUUUUGCAUGUACCUUAUGAAUAAGGACCGGCUAAUUCCGUGCCAGCAGCCGCGGUAAUACGGAAGGUCCGGGCGUUAUCCGGAUUUAUUGGGUUUAAAGGGAGCGUAGGCCGGAGAUUAAGCGUGUUGUGAAAUGUAGUGGCUCAACCUCUGCACCGCAGCGCGAACUGGUCUUCUUGAGUACGCACAACGUGGGCGGAAUUCGUGGUGUAGCGGUGAAAUGCUUAGAUAUCACGAAGAACUCCGAUUGCGAAGGCAGCUCACGGGAGCGCAACUGACGCUGAAGCUCGAAAGUGCGGGUAUCGAACAGGAUUAGAUACCCUGGUAGUCCGCACGGUAAACGAUGGAUGCCCGCUGUUGGCCUGAAUAGGUCAGCGGCCAAGCGAAAGCAUUAAGCAUCCCACCUGGGGAGUACGCCGGCAACGGUGCAACUCAAAUGAAUUGACGG
RNAcentral lists this ribosomal RNA (924 nucleotides) under uncultured Bacteroidota bacterium. Its description in RNAcentral is "bacterial SSU rRNA". It matches the Rfam family "Bacterial small subunit ribosomal RNA", at positions 1 to 916 of the family's 1533-position model. The record is from RNAcentral. Lineage: Bacteria; Pseudomonadati; Bacteroidota.